UUUCAGAAUUUGAAGAAACUUGUUCAUGGUAUAAUUUUCACUCUGAUGCAAACAUUAUUUUGUAUUAGCCUUAUUUGCCCACUUUCUUGUUUUACUAAGACAUGAAGUAUAUCUGCCAAGCAGUCUUAGUCUAUCAUGAUGAUCCAGAAGUAUUAGCAGAUAGCUGUUGGGCUAUUUCCUACCUUACUGAUGGUCCAAAUAAACGAACUGACAUGUUCUUGAAAAUAGGAGUUUUGCCCCAACUUGUGAAGCUUCUAGGAGCUUCUGAAUUGCCAACUGUGACUCCUGCACUAAGACCCAUAGGGAAUAUUGUCACUGGUACAGAUGAAGAGACUCAGGUUGUGAUCGAUGCAGGAGCUCUUGCUGUCUUUCCCAACCUGCUCAUCAACUCCAAAACUAACUUUCAGAAGGAAGGUACAUGGACAAUGUCAAACAUCACAGCUGACCCUCAGGAUGAGAUACAGCAAGUUGUGAAUCAUGGAUUAGUCCCGUUCCUCACAAUGUUCUCUCUAAGGCAGAUUUUAAAGACACAAAAGGAAGCUGUAUGGGGCCAUGACCAACUAUACCAGUGGUGGAACAGUUGAACAGGCUGUAUACCUCAUUCAUUGUGGCCUAAUAAAACCAUUGAUGAAUCUCUUAACUUCAAAAGAUACCAAGGUUAUUCUGGUUAUCCUGGAUGCCAUUUCGAACAUCUUUCAGGCUGCUGAGAAACUAGGUGAAACUGAGAAACUUAGUAUAAUGAUUGAAGAAUGUGGAGGCUUAGACAAAAUUGAGGCUCUACAAAACCAUGAAAAUGAGUCUGUGUAUAAGGCUUUGUUAAGCUUAAUUGAGAAGAAUUUCUUGGUAGAGGAAGAGGAAGAUCAAAAUGCUGUGCCAGAAACUAACUCUGAAGGCUGUACCUUCCAAGUUCAGAAUGGGACUCCUGGAACGUUUAACUUUUAGAUCAUGUAGCUGAGGUAUGUAUUUGUUGUGUACUAUAUUUGGUAUUUUGUCUUACUGUUUCUCUACUAAGAACUCUUUUUAAAUGUGGUUGGUUAUUGUAGCACUUUUUACACUGAAACUAUACUUGAACAGUUCCAACUGUACAUACUGUAGGAAGCUUGUCCUCUGAAUGGGUUUCUUAUUUCUGUGUGGAAUUUCUUAUCUUGCAGCAUCCUAUAAAUAAACAAUAAAGUCCACCCUUUACUUCAAAAAAAAAAAAUCAGGAGGACUUCUGCAUGGGGGAAAGUUCACUGUGGAGUAUUUGGAGCCCAAACAUGGACCUCCAUGCAGGGGGUCAUCCCCACGCAGGGUGUCAGAGGAUGGACAGGGAGAGAGAGAGUCAACACUGGAAGGCAGAAGCUGUCUCAGGAUGCCAGAGCAUGAGAAGAGUGAGUAGGGCUGUUGCAGCAGAGCACAGGGUACAAGAACCCAAGCAUUUGAAGAAGAAUUCUGGUCAGGGAGAGAGCACAGCUGAGGUAUAUAAACCCAACCAGGGUAAGGGGGGCUUCAGGAAAGAGAGAAGCUUGUCAAAGGAGUGACUAACAGACUGACACCCAGCAUAGUGUGUCAUAGCCCAGGCGGGUUGCCUAGGUGGCAACCUAGUGCAGCGUGUCAGAGCUUGAGAGAGAGAAGGAAAGGCUUCGACAUGGAGGGAAAAGGUAUGUGAAGCCUGAGGCCACAGGUAGAGAUUCAAGCAAGAUGAGGAGGAUGUCCACCCAGGGUAGGAAGAAGCAGCUCGUGACUGGGGCCAGAUCCUGAGUGAAAGUGCAAGGUGGUGCUCAUGUCAGAACUUAAGCAGAAUGAGAGAAUCUGUGUUGGAGAGGGCAACAGUGGUGAUGAGAAAUUGGUUCACUCAGGAAAUGCUUUCAUUCCUUCAGGCUGCUCUAACAAAAUACCAUAAACUACAUGGCUUGCAAACAACAGAAAUUUAUUUCUCACAGUUCUGGAAGCUGGGAAGUCCAAGAUCAAGAUGCGAGCAGAUUUGACAUCUGAUGAGGAUCGUCUUCCUGGUUCAUGGUCAGCCAUCUUGUCACUGUGUCCUCAGAUGGCAGAAGGGGCAAAGCAACUCUCUAGGACCUCUUUUAAAAGGACACUAAUCCCAUUCAUG
This 2089-nucleotide long non-coding RNA is filed under the name Homo sapiens (human). RNAcentral's name for it is "non-protein coding lnc-PRDM8-6:1". Lineage: Eukaryota; Metazoa; Chordata; Mammalia; Primates; Hominidae. The record is from RNAcentral.